CAUGCUCGCUAGGAUGUCGCAUCCUAUGCAUACGUAUCUCCUUUGGACGAAGGAGAAUCAGAGCAUUCGUAGCUCGGCUAACACGCACACAAACGACCACAGCAAAGGCAAACGUGGAGCCUGAAUGCCACAUCACUGGGCUUACAUCAGCAUCCGAACCAAAAACGCACACCAGAAGGCAAACGUGGAGCCCGACAACCAAUUGAUGGAAUUACGUCGGCAUCCGAACCCACAACACACUCAGAAGGGCAAACAUGGAGCCCGACAACCAAUUGAUGGAAUUACGCGCAUCCGAACCCAAAACACACAACAGCAACACGAAACAAAGACACAGGAAGAAGAGGGUCUCGAUUGCAACUAGGGCAAGAGAAAGGGAGGUCUCAAUCGCAA
RNAcentral lists this long non-coding RNA (390 nucleotides) under Lathyrus oleraceus (garden pea). RNAcentral's name for it is "Pisum sativum (pea) long non-coding RNA (PSAT_LNC005419)". The record is from RNAcentral. Lineage: Eukaryota; Viridiplantae; Streptophyta; Magnoliopsida; Fabales; Fabaceae.